GGCGGUGUAGCUCAGUGGUAGAGUGAGUGCUUUGCAUGCACGAGGUCCUGGGUUCAAGCCCCUGGCACCUCCA
Molecule: transfer RNA, 73 nt
Filed under: Camelus bactrianus (Bactrian camel)
Lineage: Eukaryota; Metazoa; Chordata; Mammalia; Artiodactyla; Camelidae
Also listed under: 2 other names
Rfam family: tRNA
About the family: Transfer RNA (tRNA) molecules are approximately 80 nucleotides in length. Their secondary structure includes four short double-helical elements and three loops (D, anti-codon, and T loops). Further hydrogen bonds mediate the characteristic L-shaped molecular structure. tRNAs have two regions of fundamental functional importance: the anti-codon, which is responsible for specific mRNA codon recognition, and the 3' end, to which the tRNAs corresponding amino acid is attached (by aminoacyl-tRNA synthetases). tRNAs cope with the degeneracy of the genetic code in two manners: having more than one tRNA (with a specific anti-codon) for a particular amino acid; and 'wobble' base-pairing, i.e. permitting non-standard base-pairing at the 3rd anti-codon position.
Source: Rfam by way of RNAcentral